CCGCCCAUAUCACGUUGAAACACCGGUUUUCAUACGAUCACUGAAUUUAAGCGACAACGAGCCUGGUCAGUACCUAGACGGGUGUCGACUUGGGUAUACCAGGG
Molecule: non-coding RNA, 104 nt
Organism: Acanthosepion pharaonis
Lineage: Eukaryota; Metazoa; Mollusca; Cephalopoda; Sepiida; Sepiidae
Source: the annotation of a GenBank genome assembly